GUCAAUAAGAAGAGGCAAUUUAGUGGUGUGUUUGGGUCUGUAGCACAACUCUACUCUGCUAACAAUUUCCACUGCUCUUCAUGACUCUUCCAUUCGCCAUGCCACAUCUGGAAAUUGACACCUGGCAGUCACCUCCAGCACCUUCUGCUUCCCUGGUUGUCCACCCACAGGGGAUGGGCCAUAUUAACAUUGAACUCAUGGCCAACAGCUCCAUAACUCAUGCUUGAAUGAAGCCUGUCCAAUACUCGUAUUUUCUCUGUGAGGCACAUCACAGCCUUCUUGUGGUUAGGACC
RNAcentral lists this long non-coding RNA (293 nucleotides) under Monodelphis domestica (gray short-tailed opossum). RNAcentral's name for it is "lncRNA (ENSMODG00000042798.1)". Lineage: Eukaryota; Metazoa; Chordata; Mammalia; Didelphimorphia; Didelphidae. The record is from RNAcentral.